UACAGAGCCUGCAAGCGUUAUUCGGAUUCACUGGGCGUAAAGGGUGCGCAGGCGGCCAAGUGUGUUAGGCGUGAAAGCCCGGGGCUUAACCCCGGAAUUGCACCUAAAACUACAUGGCUAGAGCAUUGGAGAGGGUAGCGGAAUUCACGGUGUAGCAGUGAAAUGCGUAGAUAUCGUGAGGAACACCAGAGGCGAAGGCGGCUACCUGGACAAUUGCUGACGCUCAGGCACGA
RNAcentral lists this ribosomal RNA (233 nucleotides) under uncultured bacterium. Its description in RNAcentral is "partial 16S ribosomal RNA". It matches the Rfam family "Bacterial small subunit ribosomal RNA", at positions 524 to 756 of the family's 1533-position model. The record is from RNAcentral.